Molecule: long non-coding RNA, 4955 nt
Filed under: Triticum aestivum (bread wheat)
Lineage: Eukaryota; Viridiplantae; Streptophyta; Magnoliopsida; Poales; Poaceae
Description: long non-coding RNA (TAES_LNC004143)
Source: RNAcentral
GGCAGACCGUAUUUCCCCAACUAAAAGCCAAACCAAACGAUGAAUUGAAAUCCUCCUCCCGGUUUCCUCUCUUCGCACAUUCGCCGUGAACGAUCGACACGCCAGCAGGCCAAGGUUUGGGCUCCCCCUCCCUUCUCCGUCAAUCCACUCGCGGAUUAUCUCGUGCGCGGCUUAAUCGUUGCUGUGUGCUGUCUCUUGUUAUUUCCCGUGAAGGACUUGCUCUGGGGUUAGGUUUUCAGGCGUCGUCUGUGAUUCUCGGUUCCUUUUCGGUUGUUCCUGUCUCCGCGAGUUGGUCGUCCCCAAGGAAUGCGUAAGCUUCCGGUUUACUCUGUUGAUGUAUUGUGCUCUAUGCAAGAUAUUGCAGAGGAAUUGCCGUCUGUAACAGGGUCGUAGUACUGGUCCCCUAAAUUAAUUGCUUAAGUAGCCUAUUAAUCAUGAUUUCGUGUUCAUCUUGGUGAUUAUAGGUAUUUAGGGCAUCUGUAUUUGUUGAUUGUGAUGCCAAGAUUGGUCCUUAUGUAUGGGCUAUACUCAUGGUAAGAUUAGCCAACAGUUCAAGCCCUAUCUGGAAUGCGGGAAUUUGCUUGUACUUAGUUGUGGAACAGUUUAAUUACCGCAAAAACCUAGGGUUGUGUUCCCAGUUUGAGUAAAUGAUGUCAUUGAGAUGUCUGUAGCUUUAUAUUCCCAUGCUCGAUUACUUCUUCCUUGUGAUCAUCUAGCUGUAUUAUAUGCUAAAAAAAUAUUCUUUGCCAACGGCUUCAGUGUUCUCUUCCCCUCGGGAUUGUUGCCUUGCUUUAUGAUUAUUAGAUGUGUUCUCUUUAUGAUUCUCUAUUUUUAUUCGUAAAAUUUCCUUGUGGUCAGCUAGGUGUACUAUGCUAAAAGAAAAUCUUCCCCAACUGCUUCAAUGUUCUCUUUUCCCCGAACAGUGUAUGCACAAUCGGUCUUUUAGGAUUGUUACCUUGCUUUAUGAUUAUCAGAUGUGUUCUCUUUAUGAUUCUCUAUUUUUAUUCUUCAUAUUUCGUUAAUGAGUUUAGCUCUUGAGCUGAAGUUAUUGAGUUUUCGUUGCUGUGGUUUAGAGAUGAUUCAAAUUCUGGAAAUUAUUGGCAUUGAAGUACCAUUGAUUGCCUCACCACUAGCAGAAUUAUGUAUUCAGUCUAUCCUAUGUCAGUCCAUAUAGGUCUAGCUAUACAAAUUCUUCACUUUUAUUGUUUUGGAAUUAGCUUCUAUGGAGUUCUCUUUGUUUCCCAACAGGGUUCGUGGUGCCAUGACAUUCUCAUGUGUAUGUUCCUAAUACAACAAUCUGUCUCUGAACUUCGCUUUUGGACUCCUGAGUACAUUUUGUUUGGGAACUGCAUACUAUGUUUGAUUUAAAUGGAGCUCCCAUGCGUAGAACACCUCUUGGAGUAUCAACUUAGCUCUAGAAUCAACCAUAUUUUUUCUGACACGUACAGCAGGGAUACUCCCUGCUCCCAACAUAAAUUUUGUUCAUGUAAGUAAAACCAGCAUACUGCAAAACUCCACAGUUGCCGCAAGGUUAACAAGUGUAGGUUUGAAACAGAGGGAAGGGUGGAAAAUUAGAUUAGGUAAAACCUUGUGGCACUAUACCUUGAUCAUUCUAUAGCACUGGUGCAGCAUCUGGCCCAAGUAUUUUGAGGAGUCUAUCUGUACUUUUAUUAAUCAUUAAUGUGUUGGUACAUAUAUAUUGAGAAAUGAAACUUCUGUCACGGAUGUUUUAGUUUUCUGCUUGUUGGAAACACGACUGCUUCUUGCAAAACCUGUUUGACAGUUCGGAUGAAAUUGUGUCACAUGCCUUAUUUAGUUUGGGAGGUACUAACCUCCUGUUGUAGUUGAGCAGUGUCCGUUCGAAAAGAAAUAUUAUUCUAGUCUUUCACUGAUCAGUUGUGUAAUUGCAUAUGUAUCGAAGCACUAGGGGGUAAACCAAGAAGGUAGAUAGCACAAAAUUCUUCACUAGGACAGUGACAACAGUGACUUUCUGUUAUCCCUACUGUUCCCUUGGUAAAACGUAUAGGAUGUACUUCUCACGAUCAGGACUGCAGCUAAGAUGAACAUGCAAUCUCUCUUUUCUUUUAAUUUUCAGAACAUUUACAGUCUUGCUCACUACUCUGAUUCUUCUUUAUCAGUGGAUGCAAAGUCAAAAACAAGAGCUUUUAGGACUUCAUGUUUUGAAACCAGUUAAAUCAUAUAGUUUCUGUUAUUUUUUCUCAUGCUCCUGUUCUCUGAACAUAUUAGCUGGAAGCAUCACAUAGUUUGUUAGCUUUUUACAGACAAGUGUGCUUUGAUUUUUGUUUAAGAUUGGAGCUAUCUUCAUGUUGUUUGUUCCAUAAAUAUUCUUAUAUACCAUCAAAAUAACUUCUGUUAAUUAUGUUCAGUACUGAUGAAUUUUUCAUUGACUAUUUUGAACACUGUCAUUCUCAAGUUAAGUUUGUACUCUGUAACCUCAUAACCUCAUAAAGAGCAAUAUAUUUGUUUGGCUGUUCUCUGUUAACAAUAUUUACCCCUGUUCUUUCAUGUGCAAUUUGUAAUCAUCUAUCUAACCAUGUUUUCCAUUAGAAGUUAGAAUGCGUCUGUUUGUCUAUUCUAAAACUAAGGUGUAGCAUCCAAGAGCUUGUCUUCAUUUAGUAUGCUUCAGUUUAUCUAUUGUGGAUUACUCUCUCCAUUCCAAAUUAAUUGAAGUUCUAGCUUUGUCCUUAUUCAAAUUUGACCAAGUCCAUAAGAAAAAUAUAUCAAGACCUACAACGCCAAAUUAGUUUCAUUACACUGAACCGGAUCUUGAAAACGGGAGUGAACUGAAUCCGACUUCUUGGGAUUUCUUACAAAAUGUAUUUCCAUUAUAUAUAUGUUUGGUAUUGUAGAUCUAAGCAUAUUUUUCUAUAGACUUGGUCAAACUCAAAGAAGUUUGACUUAGACAAACCUAGAACUUCAAUAAUUUGGAAGGGUGGGAGUUUUGGUUUCUACUCCCUCCGUUCCUAAAUAUAAGUCCUUUUAGAGAUUCCACUACAAACUACAUAUGGAUGUAUAUAGACAUUUUUUAGAGUGUGGAUUCACUCAUUUUGCUCCAUAUGUAUUCCAUAGUGAAAUCUCUAAAAAGCCUUAUAUUUAGAAACGGAGGGAGUAGAAUUUAGCAUCCUGAGCUUGCCCUUAAUUUGCUACACUCCAACUAUCCAUCUUGCAAUUAUAAAUGGUAUUGUUUCUUCACUUGCCUUGUUUCUUUCCAUGUAUGAAAAAAAUGGUUUCCAACUCAUAUUGGGUAUUUCUGUUUUGAUGUCAAACGAACCUCGGAAUAUUUGCAUAAUUUCUUAUUUUUAUUAGUGUGUAAUGUAUCGGCAUCAUCAAGCCAACAAUGCCUGGACUGUUUCUGAUGGACCAAAAUGUGUAGGGUUCGAUAUCUUUUUUUAUUGUUAUUUUGGUUAGGUAAUUUAUGCAUAUGAUAUUCACUGUUGUGCAGAUCGGUUUUUUCAGCAUCACUAGAGUCAAGGAGGCUUCCCUUGGACUGGCGCUAUGCACGCCCAUCAUAUUUUAUUUAGGUUAUGCCUAGAACUCUAAUAAGUGGAGCUUAGCAGUAGCAUACAGUGACUUAUUACUGGAUUUCACCGUUAUAAGCACAUACUUAUAAAUAUUAAAUCAUGACGCAAAUUGUAUAUUUAGGAAUUGUCCCCAGUAUCCACCUUAUUAUUUUGCUUGUUGUUAGGCUAUAGUAAGUGUUGCUGCAACUUGGAAUUUGGUCGCAGCAUGCUCUUUCACUAUUUUUUUUGUCUAUUUUUAUCAAUGUAUUAUUAAUGUCAAGUCACUGUAUACACUCCUGUUUUGAAACAACAUUGACGUACUGAUGAGAUUUUAUUUUCUCUUGUUUUGAAACAGGAGUCUGGACUGGAUACACUCCUUCUCUUUUGUCCCGUGUGAUAAAAGAUUUAUAGCUUAUAAUAUCACAACAAUGUACAUAUUCAUUACCACUGAACUUGUAACUGCAGUAUUUGUGUAAUUCUAUAUAUCCAUUCAUCUUGUUUUUUCCAUAUUGCAUUUGGGAUCAUGGUAGAGGUUCAUCUGAGGUAUUUCUUCUUUUCGUCAAGAAAUCAUAAAAGCGUUCUAGAUCUUCAGUAUUGUGUAACAGCUAGAUACUCAUUCAUGCUGUCUUUGUUUUCUCUUUUUUUAACUGAAGAAACACUUCAUCUUAGGUUUUAAAACAGUUUCCGCUUAUUUUUCAGUGCCAUUUAGAAGAUUUUGGUGGCCAGAGAACAAAGCAAGUCACCGAACCAUGCUCAUGGUCUGCUGGAAUAUCACACUAAAACUUCAUGCUGGUAAGUUUCCUCAUUUGUCAUGAACCCUGAAUGAUUAACCUCGUACAAACCAGACAUCAAAUAUAUUUCAGUACAUGGUAGUCAUGCAAAACUUGCAUCUGUCAUAUUAGGAACUCAUUGUUGUCGAUAUGUACAUGUUAACUGAUGUUGGGCCUCCACAACCCACUACUGGCAUGACUAAAAGAGCCAGUCUUACAUCUUUUGUUAGGGAAGCUACUAUACAUCUUAGACUUGUGGAGUAAUUUACAAGAUGCACAUACAAAUCUCUUCGGCACCUGAACAAAAUCACUAAUUCCAACACACCUAGUGUGCUGCCACACAUGGCAUGAGUCACAAGAUAGCAUCCUCUCACCAUCAUCAUCCUUCGCUCCACAUGAACAAUUAACUGUCCAUUUGUCUACACCCCUCUCCAUUCGAUAAAUUGCAACCCUGCGCUCACCUCCAACACACUUGCCUUGGAUGCUGACAGUCCCUUUUGCUCCAAAUAAGAGCUUGACUUGAGUUGUGUCAUCUGCAGUUGGACAAUCAAGAAGCUGGUUUGCUACAAAGCUUUGUAGCAUCAAGUAGAUACUUUGGAAUGUUCUCGCAGCCUCCAUCUUCAGAUCAGCAACAGUAGCUGUUUGCGGAAGUGUUAAAAGUUCU